UGGGGAAUCUUCCGCAAUGGACGAAAGUCUGACGGAGCAACGCCGCGUGAGUGAUGACGGCCUUCGGGUUGUAAAGCUCUGUUAAUCGGGACGAAUGGCUACCAUGCGAAUAGUUUGGCAGUUUGACGGUACCGGAAUAGAAAGCCACGGCUAACUACAUGCCAGCAGCCGCGGUAAUACGUAGGUGGCAAGCGUUGUCCGGAAUUAUUGGGCGUAAAGCGCGCGCAGGCGGAUCUGCCAGUCUGUCUUAAAAGUUCGGGGCUCAACCCCGUGAUGGGAUGGAAACUACAGAUCUAGAGUAUCGGAGGGGAAAGUGGAAUUCCUAGUGUAGCGGUGAAAUGCGUAGAUAUUAGGAGGAACACCAGUGGCGAAGGCGACUUUCUGGACGAUCACUGACGCUGAGGCGCGAAAGCCAGGGGAGCGAACGGGAUUAGAUACCCCGGUAGUCCUGGCCGUAAACGAUGGGUACUAGGUGUAGGAGGUAUCGACCCCUUCUGUGCCGUAGUUAACGCAGUAAGUACCCCGCCUGGGGAGUACGGCCGCAAGGUUG
Molecule: ribosomal RNA, 550 nt
Filed under: uncultured bacterium
Lineage: Bacteria
Description: bacterial SSU rRNA
Rfam family: Bacterial small subunit ribosomal RNA
Source: RNAcentral